This is a non-coding RNA of Triticum aestivum (bread wheat), 80 nucleotides long. The record is from Rfam. Lineage: Eukaryota; Viridiplantae; Streptophyta; Magnoliopsida; Poales; Poaceae.
AGCUCAAUGAUUACAGCCAAUUACAUUGGCAAUAUACGCUAUACUGACCAUAUUUUGAUGAAAAGUUGUAUAUGAGGGCU